This is an RNA transcript of Manihot esculenta (cassava), 2419 nucleotides long. It is a transcript of the gene named serine/threonine-protein phosphatase PP1 isozyme 3, with no coding region annotated. NCBI's taxonomy places the organism in Eukaryota, Viridiplantae, Streptophyta, Magnoliopsida, Malpighiales, Euphorbiaceae. The record is from RefSeq and is a predicted model, not a curated record. The transcript is spliced from 4 exons.
AAUUUCAACUAUUUUAUCAAAUCAGUCUACAUAAAAAAUAAUUAGAUUCCGGCAACUGGUUCGCAAGACGAGCAACACUGCGUUACUUUAGUUCAUCUUUUAAUUUAUGCUCAAAUAAAUAAGUUUUGGAAUUAAAUUCAUUUGUUAACGAUAGUAGAGAAAUAGCUCAAGUAUUGGGAGGUGGGAAGAUAAGAUUUUGUUUCUGGGUAAGGCAUAGUUGUGGCACACCAUAACUUGGAAUGCUUCAAUGGUGGUAACAUGAGAAUGCUCUAAUGGUGGCCACGCUCUUUCCUUGUUCAUAUUACUUAUUAAAGUUGAAAUCUUGAAACAGCAAGACUAGUGCGUGCUUAGCUCUGUAAUGCGUCAACAGGUGGCUGCUUCUGCCGCCUGCCUGCAACUUUCGCAAGAGUUCCUAAACAAAGGAACAAACAAGCAAAAGGAAGCGUCUUGGUUUUCUUUCUUUUCUUUUUCUAUGUUUCUCACUAUUGGCAUAUUCACCUAACUAUCUACUUUAGCUCUCUUUCAUUCUUUCAAUUCUCAAAUCAGCUCAUUUUCAUUUCUCAAUAACAAGAAUAUAUUCUUUGGCCUUUUUCGAAUUCAGCAACCAACGGACACCAUUCAUUCUUUGCUCCACCACAAAGAAAUCAAAACCCAAUCUCCUCUGUCUUUUUUUUUUAAAAAAGCAUGUUCGUAUUUAUAACUGCUCAACUGGGUCAAAGGGCUUGUAGUGCUGUUGCUGCUGCUGGUGGUGGUCCUUUAUUCUCCUUCUUCCUUGCCUUAGCUUUUCCUUUUUGUUAUGUGCUUGUUUAAAUUUGAAGGUUGAGAGAAAAGGAGGCUGGGAGGUAUGGAGCCUGCUGUUCUUAAUGGUGUGAUUAAUAGGUUGCUUGAAGUUAGAGGCCAACCAGGGAAACAAGUGCCGCUUUCUGAGACUGAGAUUCGGCAGCUUUGUAUCACCUCCAGGGAGAUUUUCUUGAGGCAGCCCAAUCUUUUGGAGCUCGAAGCUCCUAUCAAAAUCUGUGGAGAUAUACAUGGACAGUAUUCUGAUCUUCUGAAGCUUUUCGAAUAUGGUGGAUUACCUCCUCGUGCUAACUAUUUAUUCUUAGGGGAUUAUGUAGAUCGCGGGAAGCAAAGCCUGGAAACUAUAUGCCUUCUUCUUGCAUAUAAAAUAAAAUAUCCUGAAAACUUUUUCCUACUGAGGGGAAACCAUGAGUGUGCUUCUGUAAACCGUAUAUAUGGAUUUUAUGAUGAGUGCAAAAGAAGAUUCAAUGUCAGACUAUGGAAAAUAUUCACAGAUUGUUUCAACUGCUUGCCUGUGGCAGCUCUUAUUGAUGAAAAGAUUCUUUGUAUGCAUGGUGGACUUUCUCCUGAUCUGCACAAGUUGGACCAGAUAAGGAAUUUGCAACGACCUUGUGUUGUUCCUGAGUCUGGAUUGUUAUGUGAUCUCCUCUGGUCUGAUCCUAGUAAAGACAUUCAAGGUUGGGGAAUAAAUGAAAGGGGGGUUUCAUAUACCUUUGGUGCUGAUAGGGUUAUAGACUUUCUGCGAAAACAUGAUCUUGAUUUGAUUUGUCGAGCUCAUCAGGUCGUAGAAGAUGGAUACGAGUUCUUUGCAAAUAGACAACUUGUAACCAUAUUUUCAGCUCCUAAUUAUUGUGGAGAGUUUGACAAUGCUGGUGCCAUGAUGAGCGUGGAUGAGAAUUUAUUAUGCUCAUUCCAAAUAUUGAAACCAGUUGAUAAGAAGCCAAAGUUUGGUUUUGGAAGCAUGGUUACUGCUAAGCCUGGCAACAGUACAGCAAAAAUCAAGGUACAUCUUAUUCCUUCUGGCUUCAAAUGUAUGGAUUACCGACCACAUAAAGUUAAUUAGAGAGUGGCCCUUGCACGAAAUUUUGGCCUUAGUCCCUGAAAUAUAAUUCUGUUAACAGAUACGUUGCUUGUUAGUGUGUCAUCUAUAGAAACAGUUGUAUGAAAUUGGUCUCAAAACGUAGUUCGUUCUUCCUUCUGAAUUUUGGUCUUCAUUUGCUUCUGAAAGUAUGUCACAAGAGGUCCUCAAAUUGGCAUUUCAGAUGCAUUGCUGUGCUUAGUAUACAUGAACUGCCUUCUUCAUGCUGCAUUCUGUCAUUAUGCUUUUUCCUUUCACAGCAUCUGAUUCUUCACAGCUCCCACCUCACCACCAAACCAUGAGAGGAAAGUUACUGUCACUUUUAAAAGUGUAAGGAAUCUGAUCCAGCUGCCGUGGAAAGUGACUCGCAGAAUAUCACCACUGUACCAUCUUGUUUAGGUGAAGAUAAUACAGAGAAGUUCAUCGUCCAUGAAAAUUUUAGGAGGUUGUAAUCUCUAUGGGUUUUUUUUCAGUAUGGUUGCGUGUUGCAACUCUGUUAUCAUCUUACAAUAAUCACAGAGCAGAAAAUAUUUUAUUCCCUCA